GCAGCGGAGCGUGUGGUUUAAUUCGAUGCUACACGAAGAGCCUUACCUGGGUUUGACAUGUACGUAGUAGUGAACCGAAAGGGAACGAGCCUUCGGGCAGCGUACACAGGUGCUGCAUGGCUGUCGUCAGCUCGUGCCGUGAGGUGUUGGGUUAAGUCCCGCAACGAGCGCAACCCUCAUCGCUAGUUACAUGUGUCUAGCGAGACUGCCAGGUUAACCCUGGAGGAAGGUGGGGAUGACGUCAAGUCAGCAUGGCCUUUAUGCCCAGGGCUACACACACGCUACAAUGGUCGGUACAAUGGGAUGCCAAGCCGUGAGGCGGAGCAAAUCCUCAAAGCCGGCCUCAGUUCGAAUUGGAGGCUGCAACUCGCCUCCAUGAAGUCGGAGUUGCUAGUAACCGCAGGUCAGCUAUACUGCGGUGAAUACGUUCCCGGGGCUU
RNAcentral lists this ribosomal RNA (439 nucleotides) under uncultured Caldilineaceae bacterium. RNAcentral describes it as "bacterial SSU rRNA". It matches the Rfam family "Bacterial small subunit ribosomal RNA", at positions 929 to 1382 of the family's 1533-position model. The record is from RNAcentral. Lineage: Bacteria; Bacillati; Chloroflexota; Caldilineae; Caldilineales; Caldilineaceae.